RNAcentral lists this long non-coding RNA (324 nucleotides) under Setaria viridis. Its description in RNAcentral is "long non-coding RNA (SVIR_LNC010912)". Lineage: Eukaryota; Viridiplantae; Streptophyta; Magnoliopsida; Poales; Poaceae. The record is from RNAcentral.
UGGAGGAGGGAGUAGCUUAGUCCUUGUUGAUGUAGAAGUAUCAGUACUCUUAGUUAUAAGAGUUAUGUUAGUUGAUCAUGUCAUGGAUGCCUCUUCUUUAUUUUUGUAUCAUGAUAGAGGCAUUCACCAAGUUUAUUUUGGUAACAUGAGAGUCAUGCACCUACUAUAUCAAACUCGACCCAGUUUGUAUGAAUUAAGUAAUUUUUAUGUAUGGGAGCUCUAUCUCGUCUAGUUUAGCAUUUGAUAAAGUUCAUCACCAAUGUAGGCGUCAUCAGAAUCAUCUUCAUCUUAAUGUUUUCCAGAAUCAAAUGGAUAUUAGUUCAC